Long non-coding RNA from Bactrocera dorsalis (oriental fruit fly), 690 nucleotides. RefSeq lists it as uncharacterized. NCBI's taxonomy places the organism in Eukaryota, Metazoa, Arthropoda, Insecta, Diptera, Tephritidae. The record is from RefSeq and is a predicted model, not a curated record. The transcript has 3 exons.
GUUGCCAAUAAGUUUGAUGGCAAACCGUUUAACAACCGUGUCAUAUCAUUUGGCGACGCUGGCAUUUUUAGUAAAUACCGAACAGGAGUACUUUAAUAUUAAUUAAAAUAUUUUGGAAAUAUUGUAAUCGACAUCGCUUACGCGAUUAUAGCCGAGUUAACAACAGCGCGCCAGUAGUUUCUUCUUUUCGCUACGAGGCACCAAUUGAAUAUUCCAAGCGAAGCCAGGUCCAGAUGUAAUGCCGUAAAGCAAAAAUCGGGGAUAUAGUACCAAGUAUUAGAAACGUUUGGUAAAUUGUGCUAUUUGAAUGUCCAAGGCAUUUUAGAGGGCGCUCAAAUUUUUCAAUUAAUAUUAAUUAUUUGUGAAUUGCUAAUUGCUAUUUUUUACUUAAAUGGAUAAAUUAAUAAACAAAUAAUGAUAUUUUUUAGCCUUUUUUAGCCUUUUAAAGAACUUUGUCUAUUGUAUAAGCUCUUAUUGCUUCUUAUGACUAUGUGUGCUAUUUGCGUGACCACGACUGUAUAUAUCGACAUAAAUAUACGAGUAUACUUGAAUUUUAAUAACAUUUUACAAUAAUUACGAAUUAUUGCUUUAAGCUAUAAAAGUUCGUUAAUAUUCGUCAAUAUAAUUCACAAUAUUGUGAAAAUGAAACAUCAAUGUUAUUAAAUUUUUACUUCCUUCAAAUUGUUUCUA